CCCUUCCGCCUUCCGGAUGGAUGAAAGCAGAAGCAGUGGCUGGAGCUAGAGCAGCUAUUUAGGACUAUGAGAUGGAAGAAAUGUGGUGACAAUAGCAGAACAAAAAUAUAGAAAUCUUGGGUACUUGAUGACCACGGAGCCGCCAUACAAACUCUGGACUAUAAUUUCCAGAGACUGUUUAUGUGAGAGAGAAAUAUACUUCUCCUGUUAGGCUACUGUUAACUCUGUGUUUUCUGUCAGUUCUGAUAUAGGAGGCAUUGUCAUCCCAUUUUACAGACGAAGAGACGGAGUCUCAAGUUUCCAUAGCUGGUGUGCACUUUAGUUCCUCAAGGACAAUAAUGCCCCACCCUUGAGAAUGAAGAUACUGUCAUUACCUCUGCAAAGAAUGCAUCCUAGCACAGAUCAAAGAUCUUCCAAGUCCAGCCACACCAUUUUACAGUUCUGAACCUCGACUUAGGAAAGCAGUGGAUCUUUAUACAUUUGACACAUCCCUUCCCUCUAGGAUCUCUGUGGCUAUUGAAAAUGGACUGGAGAAGAUGAGUGGGAGUGAGAAGAGGAUAACAGAAUCAGAUAAAAACCUGUCAUGUUACUAAGAGCAGGAGAUGAGGCAGCCUGGACCAAGAUGGUGGCAGAGAGAAGAAAAUUGCUUGAGAGAAUUGAUUAAACUACUUGGUUAGCACAGAUAGAGCUGAAUCAAAAAUUAGGAUGGUAAGCUAAGUAAUUUUACACACAAAAAGGCAGAGUUGCAUUCAUAAUUAGUCUCUCCUUCAGACUGAAUAUUACAGACAAAAUAUAGCCAUUGGUGUUGCAAUCACUUCCUUUGGGUUUGUAUCCAAGGUUAAGAAUGUCAGCAUCCAAAGACCCAAAUUCUUAAUGUUUUUAGUUGAUAAAGUUUAUUCAAG
This 902-nucleotide long non-coding RNA is filed under the name Homo sapiens (human). RNAcentral describes it as "long intergenic non-protein coding RNA 690". The record is from RNAcentral. Lineage: Eukaryota; Metazoa; Chordata; Mammalia; Primates; Hominidae.